Molecule: ribosomal RNA, 443 nt
Filed under: uncultured bacterium
Lineage: Bacteria
Description: partial 16S ribosomal RNA
Rfam family: Bacterial small subunit ribosomal RNA
Source: RNAcentral
CCUACGGGAGGCAGCAGUGGGGAAUAUUGGGCAAUGGGCGCAAGCCUGACCCAGCAACGCCGCGUGAAGGAAGAAGGCCCUCGGGUUGUAACCUUCUUUUAUUCGGGACGAAACACAUGACGGUACCGAAUGACUACGCCACGGCUAACUCCGUGCCAGCAGCCGCGGUAAUACGGGGGGUGCAAGCGUUGUCCGGAAUCAUUGGGCGUAAAGCGUUCGUAGGCGGUAUGUCAAGUCUGAUGUUAAAGCCCGGGGCUCAACUCCGGUUCGGCAUUGGAUACUGGCAAACUAGAAUGUGGUAGAGGUAAAGGGAAGUCCUGGUGUAGCGGUGAAACGCGUAGAUAUCAGGAGGAACAUCGGUGGCGAAAGCGCUUUACUGGACCAUUAUUGACGCUGAGGAACGAAAGCCAGGGGAGCAAAUGGGAUUAGAUACCCUUGUAGUC